UCGAGAAUCUUUAGCAAUGGACGAAAGUCUGACUAUGCGACGCCGCGUGAGGGAUGAAGGAUUUCGGUUCGUAAACCUCUUUCGAAGGGAAAGAAAAACCCGCCAUAAAUAGUGGCGGACUUGACGGUACCCUGAGAAGAAGCCACGGCCAACUCCGUGCCAGCAGCCGCGGUAAUACGGAGGUGGCAAGCGUUACUCGGAUUCAUUGGGUGUAAAGGGCAGGUAGGCGGCAUGAUAAGUGGAUGGUGAAAUUCCGUUGCUCAACAGCGGAACUGCCUUCCAAACUAUCGGGCUUGAGAUUGGGAGAGGAGAAUGGAAUUCCCGGUGUAAGGGUGAAAUCUGUAGAUAUCGGGAAGAACACCAGUGGCGAAAGCGAUUCUCUAGUCCAAAUCUGACGCUGAGCUGCGAAAGCUAGGGGAGCAAACAGG
Molecule: ribosomal RNA, 428 nt
Filed under: uncultured bacterium
Lineage: Bacteria
Description: bacterial SSU rRNA
Rfam family: Bacterial small subunit ribosomal RNA
Source: RNAcentral